UACGAGAGGUCCAAACGUUAUUCGGAAUUACUGGGCGUAAAGCGUAUGCAGGCGGAUCGUUAAGUCGGGGGUGAAAUCCCGAGGCUCAACCUCGGAACUGCCUUCGAUACUGGCGACCUUCGAGUCCGGGAGAGGUGAGUGGAACUCCGAGUGUAGAGGUGAAAUUCGUAGAUAUUCGCAAGAACACCAAUGGCGAAAGCAGCUUUCUGGGACGGUACUGACGCUGAGACGCGAAAGCGUGGGGAGCGAACAGG
This 254-nucleotide ribosomal RNA is filed under the name uncultured bacterium. RNAcentral describes it as "partial 16S ribosomal RNA". It matches the Rfam family "Bacterial small subunit ribosomal RNA", at positions 524 to 776 of the family's 1533-position model. The record is from RNAcentral.